UGGUGUUGAUUGCGGCGAGGGUCCACCCGUUCCCAUACCGAACACGGAAGUUAAGCUCGCACGGCGCUUACGAUACUUGGCGGGAAGCUGCCCGGGAAAAUAAGUAGAUGCC
RNAcentral lists this ribosomal RNA (112 nucleotides) under human gut metagenome. The record is from RNAcentral.